This is a long non-coding RNA of Gallus gallus (chicken), 1017 nucleotides long. NCBI's taxonomy places the organism in Eukaryota, Metazoa, Chordata, Aves, Galliformes, Phasianidae. The record is from Ensembl.
UGUUGCACUCUCCCAGAGAGAGCAUUCUACACUUUCAUUUUUGCACUCCUGCAGGCAGCAAUGUGUGUGUUCAUGUAGGGGAAGAUAGCAGAAGCUCUGACUUCAGCAGAAUCAAGUAGGCAUCUUCCCCAGACUGCUGUUGUGCUGAAGAAUGUGCAUCAAGCAAGAAAAACACCUCUGAGCUACUGCCACCUCCCCUGCAACCCCUCUCAAAGGCUAUGAACUGGAACAGCAUAAAGGGCACCAUUUAACAUAAGAUGUUUCAAAUGCAAAAUGUUGCUUUCUUGGAUGCUCAGUUAUUUUUUGAACAAAUAUGCUCCAAAAGAAAAGGUGCUUUCACAUUUGCUGUUCCAGAACACAGCAGAAGAAACAAACUACAGAGAGGAUGUACUUGGGAAGUCUGUACAGGUGGAACCAACGUUUGUGCUGCAACACAAGGCAACAAAAGACAGCUUAAGACAGAAAGAAUAUGGGCUAUAAGUGGUGUUAUACCACCUCGCUAUCUGAGCACGUGGACUUUCGAGGGCAGACAUCCCCUGUUUUGAAUGUUUUAAUCCCAUAGUCUUCCAUUCUCUGAGAAGGGGGAUUCAGCACCCACUAACUAUAUCUUUUUUUUCCUCAGAGAGCCCAGUUUUAGCCUUUGUGUUUCAUUCGCUGCUGCUCUCAAUUCACUGGGGUGCCAUAGUCAUGAAUACACUGAGAUCUUUAAGUAUUUAUUACUUUGGCAACACCUUUCACAGCCCAUCAGUUUUCAUAAUUAAGUUCAUAGAUCUGCAUUACCUAGCAUAAGUUUUGAUCCAUAUUGUUUGCUGAGUUGGUCAUGAUUUGCUGGCUUUUUAUGAAACAGCAUUUUACUAGUCAAAUUCCUGGACUGUGCUUAUUAAUACAGUAGGCUCAAAUUUAUCAUACUUUAAAAAUCUGUUAUUUUGGACAGGGGGAAAAAAACCCAUCAUUUUGCUUCAUCCUGCAGGAGAACCGAGCCAUCUAUUUUAUUUAACCUUAACGAGGCAGCAGUCU